This 465-nucleotide ribosomal RNA is filed under the name Vreelandella stevensii. RNAcentral describes it as "partial 16S ribosomal RNA". It matches the Rfam family "Bacterial small subunit ribosomal RNA", at positions 338 to 795 of the family's 1533-position model. Lineage: Bacteria; Pseudomonadati; Pseudomonadota; Gammaproteobacteria; Oceanospirillales; Halomonadaceae. The record is from RNAcentral.
CCUACGGGAGGCAGCAGUGGGGAAUAUUGGACAAUGGGCGAAAGCCUGAUCCAGCCAUGCCACGUGUGUGAAGAAGGCCUUCGGGUUGUAAAGCACUUUCAGUGGGGAAGAAAGCCUUGGGGCUAAUACCCUCGAGGAAGGACAUCACCCACAGAAGAAGCACCGGCUAACUCCGUGCCAGCAGCCGCGGUAAUACGGAGGGUGCGAGCGUUAAUCGGAAUUACUGGGCGUAAAGCGCGCGUAGGCGGUCUGAUAAGCCGGUUGUGAAAGCCCCGGGCUCAACCUGGGAACGGCAUCCGGAACUGUCAGGCUAGAGUGCAGGAGAGGAAGGUAGAAUUCCCGGUGUAGCGGUGAAAUGCGUAGAGAUCGGGAGGAAUACCAGUGGCGAAGGCGGCCUUCUGGACUGACACUGACGCUGAGGUGCGAAAGCGUGGGUAGCAAACAGGAUUAGAUACCCCUGUAGUC